AUCAUGACCUGAGCUGAAGUCAGUCGCUUAACUGACUGAGCCACCCAGGCACCCCUCCCCCACUUUUUUAAAGUGGACACUUAAAACUUAUUGAAGUGUAACACCCACAAAGAAAAGUGUAUAAUCAGAGGGUAGAGCUGAGUUACUGAAGGUGAGUGAAUCCAUGUGCCUGACACACAGCAUUACCAGCACCUCAGAGGCACCCUGGAGACUCCUCCCGGUGGCCACUCCUCCUCUCCCCCUCCCCCUGCCCGAAGAUCCCGGGUUUUCUUCCUCUGCAAUAGAUUAGCUUCGUGUGCUUGUAAACUCUCUAUAUUGGAGUCACUCAGCAUGUAUUGUUUUGUGCUGGCUUCUUACUAGCAGUAUAUUUGGAAGAUAUGUUUUUAAACAUCUGCGAAGUGUUAAACUCGCUCUUAUUAUGGUUUCAGGUAUUUUAGAAAAUAAUGAGAGUUUACAGGCACUAAAUGUUGGAAGAAAUGGAAAUUUAUACCCGUAAGGCACUCUGCAUUCUCUUUUUUAUUGUGGCAAAAUAUACAUAAUAUAAAAUUUACUAUUUUAAUCAUUAUAUUCUUUUUUAACGGAAUUUUAUGCUAUAUCUUUGAGGCAUAUUGAAUAAGACUUGUUGGCAUGAUUUCUUACUAUGCUUAUUUUCUUUUCAUGGGUUCCAGAGGAUUAGCGUCCUACACCCGUUCUGAUGCUGAAUGCUUUUCUUCCAACUUAACCUUUAUAUGAUUUCAGGGGUAGGAGUGGGGCAGAAACCCCCUGAGAAUGAAUAGAAAAUUUAUGUUGUUGUGACUGUGUAAAAUUUUCAUUAGACAGGUAAUCCCCUAAUACUCUGUAAUACAAAAUUGAUUCUGAAUCACUGAGAGUGGGUGUACAAAGGCUAUGUUGUGUGUGUCCCAAAAAAACCAAAAAGACAACAAAAAAAAAACCAUCUCCAGAGUUCUACUUCCCCCGGAUAGUUCAUUUCUGAAAAUGUGGAAGCAAUCUGGAGCCUUGCAAGACAUUAAGGAGACAAUUCACAGUCAAAAUAUAAUGAGCCAGAUAGUUUCAAGGAAAUGCAGGAAAGUGGUAAAGAAUGAGUUCCUUUAUGAGUCGUGUAUUCAGGUUAAAACCCACAGACGCACACUCCACAAAACACAUUAAUUCAUUCACUUUGGUAUCCUGUGGAGAAGUUAACUUGCCAGGCUAGACACAUGUUAAAAUUGAAGCACUUAGAAUAAGUCAACCCAAAAGAUACUUUCACACAGGAUAUCCCUAUCUAAUGGGAAUAGGAACAUGUGAAAAAUUGGUUCAGCUUUCCACCUGGCCUUAUAAAGUUAGGAUGGUUUUAAGCUAACUGGGAGAGAAGUCCUCCUUUUAACAGUAUUUUAGGCACCUGGGAUGGUUGUGGAUCAGCUAAAUAAGCUGUGAACUUACUCGUGUUGUACUCAUCACUUUUCUAAAGUUUGUGACAGUAACAGGGACAUUGUUUAACCAACUUCAGCCCGCUAAACAUUUGACCCCAAUGCAUCUUGUGGUAGAAAUAACGAUCCCCCCCAAAGUUUCCAUCUGUCUCCUGGAAACUGAAUACGAUGUGUUCCACAGCAAAGGGUAAUUAAGGCUGCUAAUUCGCUGACCUUCAAAUAGGGCAAGGAUCGUGGGUUUUCUGGAUGGAUCUGGUUUAAUCACUAGCGUUCUUAAAAGUGGAGGAGGAGGGCAGAGAGCCUCCGGAAGGGAUAUAGCCCUGCUGACAUUUUGAAUUUGGCCCAGUGAGACCAGUUUUGGACCUUGAGCUGAAACUGUCUGGCCCUAUCUGACCUCAAGUCUCUGCAGGCUGGAAUCUGCCUUGAGGUUAUUAGUCUACCUAACAGAACUCAGAUGUGGAUCUCUGGAGAUGAACAAGUGAAAAUAAGGUCAUUAGGGUGAGCCCUAACUCAAUAUAACUGGUGACCUUACAAGAGGUGAAAUGAUGGUGGGGACCACACAGGGAUAACACUAUCAAGAUGAAGGUAGAAGUUAGAUGAUGUCCAUCAACUGAAGAAAUGAGAAGAUUGUCAGCAAACCAUCAGGAGCUGGGAGAGAGAGGCAUGACAUGGAUUCUCUGAGCCAUCCUGAAGAAUUGGCCCUGCCAACAUCUUUACUUUGGACUUGUAGCUUCCAGAAUUGAGACCGUAAAUUCUU
Molecule: long non-coding RNA, 2163 nt
Organism: Felis catus (domestic cat)
Lineage: Eukaryota; Metazoa; Chordata; Mammalia; Carnivora; Felidae
Exons: 4
Source: RefSeq, a predicted model, not a curated record